RNAcentral lists this ribosomal RNA (305 nucleotides) under uncultured bacterium. Its description in RNAcentral is "bacterial SSU rRNA". It matches the Rfam family "Bacterial small subunit ribosomal RNA", at positions 335 to 639 of the family's 1533-position model. The record is from RNAcentral.
AUCCUACGGGAGGCAGCAGUGAGGAAUAUUGGUCAAUGGUCGGGAGACUGAACCAGCCAAGCCGCGUGAGGGAUGAAGGUACAGAGUAUCGUAAACCUCUUUUGUCAGGGAACAAGGGCGGGGACGUGUCCCCGGAUGAGUGUACCUGAAGAAAAAGCAUCGGCUAACUCCGUGCCAGCAGCCGCGGUAAUACGGAGGAUGCGAGCGUUAUCCGGAUUUAUUGGGUUUAAAGGGUGCGCAGGCGGUCUGUUAAGUCAGCGGUCAAAGCCCGGGGCUCACCCCCGGCCCGCCGUUGCAACUGGCAG